AGUGCCACAUGGCAGUGAUUAAUUGGACAAAAAAAAUAAAAAAACCUGCACACACAAUAACAGCCACACAUACAAUAGGAUGAAGGAGAUUAUUUCUCAUUCUCUCUCCGUGAACCUUUCUUUUUCACCAAAGAAAUCCACCAUUGAUAUUUCUAUUAACACCACAAACAAAGACAAUCAUCCAAAGAAAAAUAGUAAGAAAAGUGUACCGCUGGAAGUGAAGGGGGUAUGCGAAAACUAGCGGCGAUGGUGGUCUCUGUUGGUGUUUGGUCUUCACGGUGAGGUGGUUCCCGGCGGAGGAGAGAAGUGGUUGUUCUUGCGUGCGGUGAUGCUUUCGUCAAAGGGCUGCGAAUUCGGUUCGGCUAGGAGCGGUGAGGGCUGAAACACUAUUCCGGCGGUCACAGAUCCGCGAUUUUUUUGUUGUUGUCUGUUGGAAAUAGCAGUUGGCCUUCAGGUUUGAACCAGUUGACUGUGGAUCUUGGGAUUGUUUGAGCAAAGCUUUGGAAUUGAAUCUUGAACUUUGAAUCAUUGUAAAUGGAAUAUGGAAGGCAAAUUUUGGGCAAUAGCAUUCUGUACUAAAAUGAUCAUAACUGGAGCUACGGGAAUCCGGUUGAUGCGUUCUAAUAAUCACCGGAAAGCUAAGAGAAAGAUCUACAACUUUUGUGUGGGAGUCAAAGUCAGAUUUGGAGCGCAUAUUUUCCAGAAUUUCGUUUGAAGCUGCACCAUUAGUUAUUUUCAUUUUGGGUCAUUUGUAUUGGGCCUGGGUUAUGUAUUUGACCCAGUUGGGCUGUAAACCGUUUGGUUCUCUCUAGUACCUAGUUCUGGUCGUACUGUUAAUUCAUCACUUUUUACUUUUCACGAAAUAACUUUGGAAGCUUUUGUACGAUCGUGUAAUGGAGAACUAAUUCCAUAAGGCAAUUUCUGCUAGUUACAGUUUCUAAUACUUUGAGGUUUUUAAUCUUUAAACCAAUUUCUUCUC
Molecule: long non-coding RNA, 979 nt
Organism: Vicia villosa (hairy vetch)
Lineage: Eukaryota; Viridiplantae; Streptophyta; Magnoliopsida; Fabales; Fabaceae
Exons: 3
Source: RefSeq, a predicted model, not a curated record